This 367-nucleotide ribosomal RNA is filed under the name uncultured alga. RNAcentral's name for it is "bacterial LSU rRNA". It matches the Rfam family "Bacterial large subunit ribosomal RNA", at positions 2098 to 2465 of the family's 2925-position model. The record is from RNAcentral.
GCUUGACUGUAGCUUGUAAUUGGGUUCGGGCUUUUUUUGCGCAGCCUAGGUGGGAGGCAACGAUGAUUUUUUUCCGGAAAAUUUGAGCCGUUAGUGAGAGACCACUCUGAAAAGGCUAGAAUCCUAAUAAUGAUCCUUGAAUCAGGACAUUUGACAGUUGCAGGUGGGCAGUUUUACUGGGCGGUAUUCUCCUAAAAAGUAACGGAGGGGUGCAAAGGUUCCCUCAAGCUGGACGGAAAUCAGCUUAAGAGUGUAAAGGCAAAAGGGAGCUUGACUGCAAGACCUACAAGUCGAGCAGGGGCGAAAGCCGGCCUUAGUGAUCCGACGGUACCACGUGGAAGGGCCGUCGCUCAACGGAUAAAAGUUA